GCAGCUUAGCUUUUUGCAUGGGGCAAUGCAGUUAUGCACGUUGAUGCAAAAUGCUAUGUCGACGUAGUAAUUAAUUAUUAAAAAACUUUAAAGAAAAGUUCUUGGUACUGUUUAUUUUAACAAAAAUUAUAUUUUUACAUUAAAAAUUUAAUCUUAGUAUUAUUUACUUUACCCUUUAUUUUGUCUUUAUCUUUAAAACUUAAAAUUUUUAUGUAAUUUUCUUAAUUAUUAAUGUUCAUGACCACGAAAAGAAAAUUAUACAUACAACCUUUCAGGAUUGCUGAAGGUCGCAGGCUCACACAGAGAUGAUGAAUGAACAAUGCUGCAAAUUAACAGGCUGCAUCUUCUUCCACCGACAAAUAAAUAGCCCCAUUUUAAUUGGUUUGUACCGUAUCUAGGGGAUAACGUCUUGCCUAGUGAGUGAUGUGGCUUCGCGUAUGUGUUGUGGUUUUAAUGUGGCCUCGCUUGCUAGCGAUUGUUUGAUGUAGUCUUGCUUGUGUGGCGGUGACAUUACUUGUGCUUCCGUAUAAAUCUGCUGAGUUUGCCAUCUUUGUUUCUGAUUUGUUACGGGAGUGCUUGUGCUAGUGUGUGCGCGCCAAUUAGCUGUAUGUCUUCUUGUAAAAAUUUAGAAUCACUAAUUGUAUAUGUAUAGGCUACAGCCUAUAAUAUAUAGUCGCGCGAUAAUUUGAAAUUUCAUCCAUAUGCAUGUUAUAUAUACAUAAAAGGCAAGGCCCUUGCAUAAUGCGUUUAUAUUUUGGUCUUGUUGGUUUCUCUCAUAAGGAAGUUCAUGUAUGCAUACCUUAUUUCUUUCCCGUUCAAUGAAAUUGUUUGAACACAUAAAACUGACAUAAAAUCUUUUAAUACAAGUACACUCUUUUAUUAUAUAUGAGUUUUGGCUAUAUUAUAGAUUAUGUCAUUAAGCAUCAACUUCGCAUGUUCAAAUAGCCAAUGGCGAAGCCAACUAGGGUCAUUGACUACUCAUGACCCCACUUGCUUCGUAGCCCCCAAGGAAUAUUUGUAUAAUAUUUGUUCGUGACUAAUAUACACAACUGCGGACUAAAAAAAAUAAGUCAAAAACACUAAAUUACGACCUGCUACUUCUGUUGUGUAACUCUAUGCAUAGUUAUUUGUAGUUUUUCUUAUUUCUUUGUUUUGUCUUUCUACUAGUAUUUCUUGUGUGCGACCCUAUGUUCGCAACAAGUGUUUGAUUAAAUGCUUCACUCUACAUGCCUUGGUAGAAAUCAAUAAAAUAUGCCAUAACUCGUCAGAUACCCACUAAGAGCUCGACGAAAUGAUCUAAUGAAUUUUUUUUAGCUUAUAACCUCAUUGUUAUAAAAUUUUAGCUCCUUCACUGCAAAUAGCAUCACACUUUCUAAUAUUUUUCACCUAUUUCAUAUGCAUUGAGUUACAAGCACUUUCAUUUCAUUUCAUGUGUAAAUUAUUGGGGUAUUAUUUGUGCUGUUUGAUGCCAAGCAUGCAUUGAUUCGAAAACCGUUUACUUCAUUUCUAUUAAUGUGUUUCGGGUAGUUGCAUCUAAUUGCUCUGUCUCUCUCUCUGCCUCUCUCUGUCUCUAUAUAAAUAUAGCAUAGGCAUUAUGCAUAAUGCCAAUGCUUAUCCAUAUCUCACUGUUCGAUAUGCGACUUUAAGCUCCCUAUUGCUAGCUAGCUAUCUUGCUAGUUUUGUAUAAUUUGUAUUACACAAAGGAGACACACGUAAGAAGCAAUCAGCCGUGAUGGACGCCUUAAUAAUGCUUGUUACUAUCUGUUUACAUUUUGCGCCCUCAUCAGUCAUCACUGAUGUGAAAUGUUAAUUAUUAUGUUAUCACAAGUGUUCAAUCCAGGUACUAAUUCGCGUACGUCGUGUAAUUUUGGUAGGGAAAAUGGGAUAUGAAUUUCAUCCGGAUUCAAAUUGUGAAAAUUAUAAGGAUCUUUAUAUUUUAAUUAUUUAUCGAUCAUCGUGUGAUCACAAAUUAUUUAACUUUUUUUUAUUUAAAAUUAAAUACAAAUAGUACAUAAUGAAAAUGGAUCGUAUAAUGUACAAUAAACUGUUAGAAAGUGAAAAUUCUUAAGAUCCCCAUAAAGUGGAUCCAAAGAGGAUCCUCUUCCGGGAAAAUGAGUCAUUUCCUUUUCUCCACUCUCUCGGAGACCCCCUGCAUCAUGGUUUUCUAUACCGCACUUGUGUUUACGUGUUAACUUCUUAGUGAAAUUAUAUAAUGUAGCUGACCACGUGUCAGCUCUAUCAAAGUUCUUCGAUAAGCAUACAGCCUGCAAGAGUAGCAUAAAUCUGUUGAACAAAAAAUUAAAGGGCCACAGCAUGACCACCUUAAUUUGUAGCUCAGCCGCGAAUAGUUAAACUAUCGCAGAAUGCAUGUGCAAGCAAAACAAGAAAACCUUGGUAGCUCGACCGUGAAUAGUAAAACUGUCGCAGAAUGCAUGUGCAAUUUAUUGAGUACAGUAUUUGCAUGCAAUGAAACGAAAUGAAUGGUUACAAAAUUAGGUUAGCUUUGGGCCUUGGCCAGCUCCUACGUACGUACUUUGUACUAUACAUUAAUUGUCUUUCGUAUAUCUUGUGAACUAGAAUUGUCUCUCUACAUAUUGAUAGAUACGUCUCAAUACUGAAUCAACUAUAAAACUAAUUGACACUACAUGAAGUAGUUCAACUUUUUAUAAGUACUUGCAACUUCUCUUUUUUUUCUUCUCGAUGUUGGAUAUACUCUCUAAUUUAUGUUGAAUACCCCAUCAUGAAGUAGUCAAUACAAUGAUAUUAUCUAUUCCGCUCCAUGUACAGUGCAAGGGGAUUCCCCUGGAAAAGAUUUAAACCUUUGCCCGCGUGAUUCAAGAAGAAAUUACAAAUAUUUAAUUUAAUAUAAUACUAUAUGGUUUAAAAAAUUACUAAUUAAGCUAGCUUGCAUGCACUGCAUGGUGCUUGGCAGCUUGCUCCUGUUUAUAAUAAGAAAAACUAAUGAAAAUAAUUUGAAAAUUUUGAGUUUUAAUGAUAAGGACAAAAUAAAGGGUAAAGUGAAUAGUACUAAGAUUGACUUUUUAAUGUAAAAAUGUGAUUUUUCAUUAAAGUAAACAGUACUAGAGAUUUUUCAUUAAAGUAAACAGUACUAGAGAUUUUUCAUUAAAGUUCCCUUUAUAAUAUGGUAAAGAAAAAUGGGGCCAAUAAUGAUAAUGAAAACAAUAGGGACUGAAUGAGCUGUUCAUCAUGUAAUUAAAAUCAUCAAGACCCGAGGAAAGCAAAUUUUUUCUCACUUCUGACAUGCAUCCUUACAGUCUAAUCACGGUUUAAUUGCAAUUAGGGUUUAAUACGCGAUAAAAUCUGUGAUUUAGCUACCUUUAAUUAUAAUUUUUUGAAGAAAAAAGUUUAAGAAUCUAAUCUAGGGAACAAUUGGUGUCAGGAAGGAAAAGUGGCUGCUAUGUUAUAAACUAACACAAAAGCAAUUGUGUUUGCUUUCUUGAGCAGCUUUGCCUGUAAAGUGACCCUUGUGUAGGACCUUUGUUGCCUCAUUGCUCUGCCCUUUGAGGGAGAAAAAAAAAACUUUUU
Molecule: long non-coding RNA, 3546 nt
Filed under: Malus domestica (apple)
Lineage: Eukaryota; Viridiplantae; Streptophyta; Magnoliopsida; Rosales; Rosaceae
Description: long non-coding RNA (MDOM_LNC007226)
Source: RNAcentral